Molecule: ribosomal RNA, 456 nt
Filed under: Leptotrichia sp. oral taxon 417
Lineage: Bacteria; Fusobacteriati; Fusobacteriota; Fusobacteriia; Fusobacteriales; Leptotrichiaceae
Description: bacterial SSU rRNA
Rfam family: Bacterial small subunit ribosomal RNA
Source: RNAcentral
GAUGAACGCUGACAGAAUGCUUAACACAUGCGAGUCUUUGGCGAAGCUGUGCUUGCACAGCCUAGCCAAGGCGGACGGGUGAGUAACGCGUAAGGAACUUGCCCUGCAGUCAGGGAUAACAGACGGAAACGACUGAUAAGACCUGGUAAAGUCAGGCGGACUCAUGUCCAGCCUGAUGAAAAGAGAUGCUGCAGGAGAGCCUUGCGUCCUAUUAGCUUGUUGGUGGGGUAACGGCCCACCAAGGCGAUGAUAGGUAGCCGGCCUGAGAGGGUGGACGGCCACAAGGGGACUGAGAUACGGCCCUUACUCCUACGGGAGGCAGCAGUGGGGAAUAUUGGACAAUGGGGGCAACCCUGAUCCAGCAAUUCUGUGUGCACGAUGAAGGUUUUCGGAUUGUAAAGUGCUUUCAGCAGGGAAGAAAAAAAUGACGGUACCUGCAGAAGAAGCGACGGCUAA